RNAcentral lists this ribosomal RNA (1383 nucleotides) under Triticum aestivum (bread wheat). RNAcentral's name for it is "partial small subunit ribosomal RNA". Lineage: Eukaryota; Viridiplantae; Streptophyta; Magnoliopsida; Poales; Poaceae. The record is from RNAcentral.
AUGGAGUCAGGAGAAGGAGAUGGUGCUGGUGCUACUGCUGCAGCAACAACAACAGAAGAGAGAGCAAAGAUUCUGAAGAGGAAUUCCGAUGAUAUGGGUUGGGCUUAUGGUCAGCUUGUUGAUCCUAACAAUCUUCAGAGAGUGAAGUGCAAUUUCUGCAGUCAGAUUUUUACGGGAGGUAUUUACCUGCUAAAGCAACACAUUGCGGCGAACUCAAAUGCAAUGAGGACCUGCCCGCGUCCUAUAGAUAAGUGGACACGUACAAUUGACCCCAAGUUAUCCGGAGAAGCAAGACUCAAGCAAAUGAACAUUAACAAGUCUGAGUAUGCAAGAACCAAGAGUGAACUCAAGGAACGAGAGGUUGAGAAGGGCAAGCAUGGUUGCUCUCUCAUGACUGAUGCUUGGACUGACAUGAAGAGGAGAAGCAUUAUGAAUCUGGUCACACAUUGCUCGGAAAGUGUUAGCUUCAUCAAGUCAAAGGAAACAUCAGACACACCGCAUACAAGUGAGAUGAUCUUCAAUCUAGUUGACAAGACAAUUGAAGAAUUAGGUGCUGAACAUGUGGUGCAGGUUGUGACUGACAAUGCUUCAAACAACAUGGGGGCUAAGGAUCUCUUGAAAGUGAAGAGGUCGAAGAUAUUUUGGAGCACAUGUGCGACUCACACUGUCAAUUUGAUGCUCCAAGGGAAUGGCAACUUAGCUAAAAAGAUGGUGGUUUCCUCUAAGUGGGAUAAGAUCAAGGAUGUGCACUCAAAGAAAGGAAAGGAUGCUACAGCCAUAAUUCUUAACAAGCCCUUCUGGAAGGGUGUGAAUCUUUGCAUCAAGGUGUUCGAGCCAUUGGUGAAGGUCCUCUGGUUGGUUGAUGGUGAUGCACGACCCUCAAUGGGCUUUCUAUAUGGAGAGAUUGUGAAGGCAAAGAAAGAAAUCAAAGAGGCCUUUGGUAACAUCGAGGCGCGGUACAAAGAUGUGUUAGCUAUAGUUCAAAAGAAGAUGAAAGAUAGGCUUGAUGCCCCACUGCAGUUGACUACAUAUUUGCUGAAUCCACACUAUAGCUAUGCAGAUGACAACAUAUUUGAUUUUGUUGACAUCAAUACAGCCUUCUAUUCUUUGGCUUGGUGGAGAAUGUAUGGAGGUGAGACACCAGGGCUGAAGGACAUGGCUAUGAAGAUCCUUUCUUUGACCUCAAGUUCUUCCGGCUGUGAGAGAAAUUGGAGUUGUUUUGAGUCGCUUCAUCGAAGUGCAAGGGUUAGAGAUCUCCAUGAUGAAGAGUUUGAGUCAGACGAAGAAGAAGUAGAGGAGACAGAUUCAGAGGAGGAGGACAUAGAGUACGAGGAUGAUGAAGAUGAAGUGGUGACUGGGCGCACUUAUGGGGAUGAGGACUGA